UUUUAGCCCGGAUAGCAGCGGAAAUCCUUUUUUAAUGACCAGCGGGAAUAAAAAGAUUGCAGCGUAUAGCCGGAAAUAGC
This 80-nucleotide small RNA is filed under the name Flavobacterium noncentrifugens. RNAcentral describes it as "Flavo-1 RNA". It matches the Rfam family "Flavo-1 RNA". The record is from Rfam by way of RNAcentral. Lineage: Bacteria; Pseudomonadati; Bacteroidota; Flavobacteriia; Flavobacteriales; Flavobacteriaceae.